GUAGCUCUGGGCGCAGCCUGAUCCAGCAAUACCGCGUGGUUGAAGAAGGCCUUUCGGGUUUAUACCCUUUUGUUGGGAAGAAUCCUGCCGGCUAAUACCCGGUUGGGAUGACGGUACCCUAACAAUAAGCCCCGGCUAACUUCCUGCAGAGCCCCGGUAUCGAACCUAAUGAAACGCAUCGCGCCCUUUAAAGGGGGGGGGGGCGGAGGUACUAAUCGCAUAAAAAAAAUUCCUUAUCCUCUGAGCGCUUUUAACUUGCGGUCGGUCCUCAAUACUUCUUGGAGGGGAGUUUAUAAAGCCUUCCUACGUAUUACUCCCUCCAAUAUAUUUUUAAUGGUUUUUUUUGUACUCUUCUCCCCUCUUAUGUUUUGUUCCAUCUAGGAGUGGUUUUUUUGGUUCUCCCCCACAUUUU
Molecule: ribosomal RNA, 412 nt
Filed under: uncultured Pseudomonas sp.
Lineage: Bacteria; Pseudomonadati; Pseudomonadota; Gammaproteobacteria; Pseudomonadales; Pseudomonadaceae
Description: partial 16S ribosomal RNA
Source: RNAcentral